ACAUGCAGUCGAGCGGCAGCGACGACUUGAACCUUCGGGGGAUUUGUUGGGCGGCGAGCGGGGGACGGGUGAGUAAUGCCUGGGAAAUUGCCCUGAUGUGGGGGAUGCCAUUGGAAACGAUGGCUAAUACCGCAUGAUAGCUUCCGCUCGAGAGGGGGACCUUCGGGCCUCUCGCGUCAGGAUAUGCCCAGGUGGGAUUAGCUGAGUUGGUGAGGUAAGGGCUCACCAAGGCGACGAUCCCUAGCUGGUCUGAGAGGAUGAUCAGCCACACUGGAACUGACACACGGUCCAGACUCCUACGGGAGGCGGCAGUGGGGAAUAUUGCAGAAUGGGCGCAGGCCUGAGGCAGCCAUGCCGCGUGUAUGAGGAAGGCCUUCUGGUUGUAAAGUACUUUCAGCAGUGAGGAAGGGGAUAUCGUUGAUAGCGGUAUUCUUUGACGUUAGCUGCAAAAUAAGCACCGGCUAACUCCGUGCCAGCAACCGCGGUAAUACUGAGGGUGCGAGCGUUAAUCGGAAUUACUGGGCGUAAAGCGCAAGCUCGUGGUUUGUUAAGUCAGAUGUGAAAGCCCGGGGCUCAUCCUCGGAGUUGCAUUUGAAACUGGCAGGCUAGAGUACUGUACAGGGGGGUAGAAUUUCAGGUGUAGCGGUGAAAUGCAUAGAGAUCUGAAAGAAUACCGGUGGCGAAUGCGGCCCCCUGGACAGAUACUGACACUCAGAUGCGAACGCGUGUGGAGCACACAGGAUUAGAUACCCUGGUAGUCCACGCCGUAGACGAUGUCUACUUGGAGGUUGUGGCCUUGAGCCGUGGCUUUCGGAGCUAACGCGUGAAGUAUACCGCCUGGGGAGUACAGUCGCAUGAUUAUGACUCAGAUGAAUUGACGGGGGCCCGCACAAGCGGU
This 898-nucleotide ribosomal RNA is filed under the name Vibrio sp. KSA7. RNAcentral's name for it is "bacterial SSU rRNA". It matches the Rfam family "Bacterial small subunit ribosomal RNA", at positions 53 to 933 of the family's 1533-position model. The record is from RNAcentral. Lineage: Bacteria; Pseudomonadati; Pseudomonadota; Gammaproteobacteria; Vibrionales; Vibrionaceae.